AGGGGUAUAGCUCAGUGAUAGAGCAUUUGCUUAGCAUGUACAAGGCCCUGGGUUCCAUUCCCAGGACCACCA
Molecule: non-coding RNA, 72 nt
Organism: Ictidomys tridecemlineatus (thirteen-lined ground squirrel)
Lineage: Eukaryota; Metazoa; Chordata; Mammalia; Rodentia; Sciuridae
Source: Rfam